Molecule: ribosomal RNA, 301 nt
Filed under: uncultured bacterium
Lineage: Bacteria
Description: partial 16S ribosomal RNA
Rfam family: Bacterial small subunit ribosomal RNA
Source: RNAcentral
CAGUAGCCGCGGGAAUACGAAGGGGGCUAGCGUUGUUCGGAUUAACUGGGCGUAAAGGGCGCGUAGGCGGAUUGCGCAGUCAGAUGUGAAAUUCCUGGGCUUAACCUGGGGGCUGCAUUUGAGACGCGUAGUCUAGAGUGUGAAAGAGGGUCGUGGAAUUCCCAGUGUAGAGGUGAAAUUCGUAGAUAUUGGGAAGAACACCGGUGGCGAAGGCGGCGACCUGGUUCAUAACUGACGCUGAGGCGCGAAAGCGUGGGGAGCAAACAGGAUUAGAUACCCCUGUAGUCCCUGUCUCUUAUAC